UUUGGGACUUUAUUAUAUUGGUUUGUCUUUUGAUGAACUGUAUGAUGGGUUUCUUCCUACUAGAGUUCGAUUCUGUUCUUAACUGAAUGGAGUAGCUAUCUUUCGGGGUGGUCAGUUGGUUGUUAUAUCUCCACUAAUGAGCAGAGAGGGGUUAAACCUUCAAAGUGAGUUAUGUGGGUCAAGGUAUAAUGAUUAAUUGGAGUUCUAGUUCAUUUACUUUGAGAAAAUUAGAGUGUUUAAAGCAGCCUCUUGGGGCACUGAAUACAUUAGCAUGGGAUAAUAAAAUAGGAUCUUCACAAUAUAUUUUAUUGGCUUAAAUUGGAUAUGAAGAUAAUGAUUAAUAGGGACAGUUGGGGGUAUUCAUAUUGGGUGGUUAGCGGUGAAAUGCUCGGAUCCAUUCAAGAUGAACUAAAGCGAAAGCAUUUACCAAGGAUGUUUUCAUUAAUCAAGAACGAAAGUUAAGGGAUCGAAGACGAUUAGAUACCGUCGUAGUCUUAACUAUAACU
RNAcentral lists this ribosomal RNA (506 nucleotides) under uncultured eukaryote. RNAcentral describes it as "bacterial SSU rRNA". The stretch from base 75 to 506 matches the Rfam family "Eukaryotic small subunit ribosomal RNA", at positions 626 to 1037 of the family's 1831-position model. The record is from RNAcentral.